UUGGAGGGCAAGUCUGGUGCCAGCAGCCGCGGUAAUUCCAGCUCCAAUAGCGUAUAUUAAAGUUGUUACAGUUAAAAAGCUCGUAGUUGAAUUUCGGGGUUAGUAGGUUGGUCAUGCCACUGGUAUGUACUGGUCUCACUGAUUCCUCCUUCCUGAUGAGCCGUAAUGCCAUUAAUUUGGUGUUGCGAGGAAUCUGGACUGUUACUUUGAAAAAAUUAGAGUGUUUAAAGCAAGCUAACGCUUGAAUACAUUAGCAUGGAAUAAUGAAAUAGGACGUUCGAUCCUAUUUUGUUGGUUUCUAGGAUUGACGUAAUGAUUAAUAGGGAUAGUUGGGGGCAUUAGUAUUCAAUUGUCAGAGGUGAAAUUCUUGGAUUUAUUGAAGACUAACUACUGCGAAAGCAUUUGCCAAGGAUGUUUUCAUUAAUCAAGAACGAAAGUUAGGGGAUCGAAGACGAUCAGAUACCGUCGUAGUCUUAACCAUAAACUAUGCCGACUAGGGAUCGGAUGAUGUUAUUUUUAAUGUCUCAUUCGGCGCCUUACGGGAAACCAAAGUGUUUGGGUUC
Molecule: ribosomal RNA, 563 nt
Filed under: uncultured Glomeromycotina
Lineage: Eukaryota; Fungi; Glomeromycota
Description: SSU rRNA
Rfam family: Eukaryotic small subunit ribosomal RNA
Source: RNAcentral